GGUUUCUGGUAAUUGUUUAAGAAAUCUAACCUGCCCACUGAAAAGAUUUUAAAGGGCCGCAGUAUUUUGACUGUGCAAAGGUAGCAUAAUAAUUAGUCUUUUAAUUGAAGGCUGGUAUGAAUGGUUGGAUGAGGUGAAUUCUGUUUUAUGUUAAUUUUUAUUGAAUUUAGAUUUUAAGUAAAAAGACUUAAAUUUUGUUAAGGGACGAGAAGACCCUAUAGAGUUUAAUAAAUGUAGUAAUUAAUUGAGUUAAAUUUUAAUUUUUGAUUAUUAUGAAAGUUAUUUAAUUGGGGUGAUUAGGAGAUAAGAUUAACUCUUCUUUAUAUUUAAUAUAAUAAUUAGUUAUAUGAUCCAUAUUUAAUGAUUAAAAGAUUAAAUUACCUUAGGGAUAACAGCAUAAUUCUUUUUGAGAGUUCAUAUCGAAAGAAGAGAUUGUGACCUCGAUG
This 446-nucleotide ribosomal RNA is filed under the name Sphodromantis viridis. Its description in RNAcentral is "partial 16S ribosomal RNA". It matches the Rfam family "Bacterial large subunit ribosomal RNA", at positions 1881 to 2531 of the family's 2925-position model. Lineage: Eukaryota; Metazoa; Arthropoda; Insecta; Mantodea; Mantidae. The record is from RNAcentral.